UGGGGAAUAUUGGACAAUGGGCGAAAGCCUGAUCCAGCCAUGCCGCGUGUGUGAAGAAGGUCUUCGGAUUGUAAAGCACUUUAAGUUGGGAGGAAGGGCAUUAACCUAAUACGUUAGUGUUUUGACGUUACCGACAGAAUAAGCACCGGCUAACUCUGUGCCAGCAGCCGCGGUAAUACAGAGGGUGCAAGCGUUAAUCGGAAUUACUGGGCGUAAAGCGCGCGUAGGUGGUUUGUUAAGUUGGAUGUGAAAUCCCCGGGCUCAACCUGGGAACUGCAUUCAAAACUGACUGACUAGAGUAUGGUAGAGGGUGGUGGAAUUUCCUGUGUAGCGGUGAAAUGCGUAGAUAUAGGAAGGAACACCAGUGGCGAAGGCGACCAUCUGGACUAAUACUGACACUGAGGUGCGAAAGCGUGGGGAGCAAACA
Molecule: ribosomal RNA, 427 nt
Filed under: uncultured bacterium
Lineage: Bacteria
Description: partial 16S ribosomal RNA
Rfam family: Bacterial small subunit ribosomal RNA
Source: RNAcentral